UGCAGUCGACGGCAGCACGGGAGCAUCCUGGUGGCGAGUGGCGAACGGGUGAGUAAUACAUCGGAACGUGCCCAGUAGUGGGGGAUAACCCGGCGAAAGCCGGACUAAUACCGCAUACGACCUACGGGUGAAAGCAGGGGAUCGCAAGACCUUGCGCUAUCGGAGCGGCCGAUGUCAGAUUAGCUUGUUGGCGGGGUAAAAGCCCACCAAGGCGACGAUCUGUAGCUGGUCUGAGAGGACGACCAGCCACACUGGGACUGAGACACGGCCCAGACUCCUACGGGAGGCAGCAGUGGGGAAUUUUGGACAAUGGGCGCAAGCCUGAUCCAGCCAUGCCGCGUGCAGGAUGAAGGCCUUCGGGUUGUAAACUGCUUUUGUACGGAACGAAACGGCCCUUUCUAAUAAAGGGGGCUAAUGACGGUACCGUAAGAAUAAGCACCGGCUAACUACGUGCCAGCAGCCGCGGUAAUACGUAGGGUGCAAGCGUUAAUCGGAAUUACUGGGCGUAAAGCGUGCGCAGGCGGUUAUGUAAAAGAUGUGAAAUCCCGAGCUUAACUUUGGAACUGCAUUUUUAACUACGAGCUAGAGUGUGCAGGAGUGGAAUUCCGUG
RNAcentral lists this ribosomal RNA (610 nucleotides) under uncultured ammonia-oxidizing bacterium. RNAcentral describes it as "bacterial SSU rRNA". It matches the Rfam family "Bacterial small subunit ribosomal RNA", at positions 56 to 673 of the family's 1533-position model. The record is from RNAcentral.